CACACCGCCCGUCACACCAUGGGAGUUUGUUGCACCAGAAGCAGGUAGCUUAACCUUCGGGAGGGCGCUUGCCACGGUGUGGCCAAUGACUGGGGUG
RNAcentral lists this ribosomal RNA (97 nucleotides) under uncultured bacterium. RNAcentral describes it as "partial 16S ribosomal RNA". It matches the Rfam family "Bacterial small subunit ribosomal RNA", at positions 1386 to 1482 of the family's 1533-position model. The record is from RNAcentral.